CGGACGGGUGAGUAAUGUCUGGGAAACUGCCUGAUGGAGGGGGAUAACUACUGGAAACGGUAGCUAAUACCGCAUAACGUCGCAAGACCAAAGAGGGGGACCUUCGGGCCUCUUGCCAUCGGAUGUGCCCAGAUGGGAUUAGCUAGUAGGUGGGGUAAAGGCUCACCUAGGCGACGAUCCCUAGCUGGUCUGAGAGGAUGACCAGCCACACUGGAACUGAGACACGGCCCAG
Molecule: ribosomal RNA, 232 nt
Filed under: uncultured bacterium
Lineage: Bacteria
Description: partial 16S ribosomal RNA
Rfam family: Bacterial small subunit ribosomal RNA
Source: RNAcentral